UGGGGGGGAAGCUCAUCAGUGGGGCUACGAGCUGAGUGCGUCACGUCACUCUGUAGCGUGUCCCCUGGGAAGGUCUGAGACUAGGGCCAACGGCGGCCCUAACAGGGCCCUCCCUGAGCGCAGGGAGGUGAGUUCCUAAUAGUGUCGGUAAGAUGCUUAGUCACGUUCCUUGUUGCAGAGACAAAGCAGCUGACACCCAAAGUUAGAGGAAAGGUUUAUUUCAGUACAGUUUGUAGAGGUCUCAGUCCAGAGUCA
RNAcentral lists this RNase P RNA (255 nucleotides) under Chinchilla lanigera (long-tailed chinchilla). RNAcentral describes it as "Nuclear RNase P (ENSCLAG00000021902.1)". It matches the Rfam family "Nuclear RNase P", at positions 1 to 219 of the family's 301-position model. Rfam says of the family: Ribonuclease P (RNase P) is a ubiquitous endoribonuclease, found in archaea, bacteria and eukarya as well as chloroplasts and mitochondria. Its best characterised activity is the generation of mature 5'-ends of tRNAs by cleaving the 5'-leader elements of precursor-tRNAs. The record is from Rfam by way of RNAcentral. Lineage: Eukaryota; Metazoa; Chordata; Mammalia; Rodentia; Chinchillidae.